UGGGAGUGAGUGUCCUGACCCAGGGGGAGGGAGCAGAGUGCAGGGCGAGGCAAGGGCCCUCUGCUGACCUUGCGGAUUUCACAGGGAUGAACCUGUGAGGGGGAGCCCGGAAGCCAGCUGGACUUUCAAGGGUGGCUAGGGAGUGGAAGGGGAAUUCUGGUGGCAUCAUCAGCAUACCGGUGCCAGAAUCCAGAAUUGCAGACACAGACUCUCCCCAAAGCCACAGACUCUCCUGGGAAGAAUGACACCGUGGGGCCUCCUGUGAGGAGCAAGGGGCCAUGAGAAGAACAUUAUACUUGGCGGGGUCCCACCUACUUCAUAUGCAUUUAGGGUUGGAGUCCUGAGUCCUGUGUCUCACUGCUUGGAAAUCCCAUGAAAGCGCUGAAGCCUCAUUCCGGGCAGCAGUGGAUGGGGGCUUUGUCACCAGCCAGUAAAGAAUAAGUGAGAGCAGUGAUGGAGGAAGAGGCCUGAGGGUUGCUGCCACCUUCUUGGUGCUGGAAUCCUUUGUGCUUGCAAAGGACCCGUGUGGGUCAGGUCACAGUGUUCCUGUGAAACUCCAAUAAAACAAAUGUAACUAAUCUCUGUAGGAAUGGGAAAGUGUUAAAAACUUCGUGGGCUCUCCUGUAUAUUUCAGGCUAGAGGCAACAUUCUUUACUUGUAGCAAAAGCAAUAGAAUACAAACAUGGGAGUAGAAGAGAUCCAAUAUGGAGUCAGAUUUGUUCUUCCCUAUUACAAGAGAACACAGCCUGGGUCCAAGGAGUGAGAAGGGCUCUGGGGAGCAAGGCUCCCUGUCCCUCUUCUCCCACACCUGCACCCAGCAUGGACCUCACCCCGCUUCCUUCACAGUGUGGCGGAGACCCCGUCUCCGUCUGCCCCUGGAUGCAUGACUUGACACCCAUUCCUGGCAUCUGGGCUUGGCUGCUGGUCACUGCCCUGACCACAGAUGUUUCGGUUUCAGCGCAGCCUGGACGGUGGUCAAAUCCUUGGGGGCCUCUGUCUCUGGAAGGAACAAUCCUGCACUUGGAGAACAAGAAGCCCCUAUUCCCAAUGGCACUGUGGAUAGAGUUAAAGUGAAAACGUUAUUCAGCAAAUUUGUACUAAAUACUCCGAAGUACCAAAGACUUCAUGGAGUUGAUAUGGCUUUUUCACUUUCCCUGGAUCCGCCCAUUUCGUCUUCGCCCUGGCCCUGAGCUGGGCUUCUCCUGCCGUCUCUGUUUUAUAGAAGAGGAGACAGGGGAUCACUCCCUCAAGCUCACACGGCUGAGUGCGGGCAGCCUGGCCGGGAUGGAGCUCUCGACGAGUCACGGCCCUGCUUCGCUCCCUUCCUUGCUCAGUAGUCCUGGUUCUGACCUGGGAGAGGCAGCAGUGCGUGAUGGUUUGGACCAAGAUCUUAAUUCUCUGCUCAGGAAUGGAACCUGGGCAGCCUGGGUGAAAACCAGGAGUCCUAGCCACUAGACCAGCUACAGGCUAAAGCAGAACGGCCCUGAUUCUACCCCCUGUUGAAAAGGCAAGAAUGUUUCAAGGAGGCAAAGGCUGUAAAAAUGGGUACAAAGUCUAUUGUUAGAGUCACAGUGCAACAUACGGAUGAGCACAGGGGAGUGGUUUAUUUACUGAGAUCAGAAGCAGAGCAGUAAUCCACACCGGAAGGAGGAGAAGGGCAGGUGUCCUCGUCGCCCUGAGAGCGGAGCGCACCAGGGAGCUGAGCUAAAUCGCUUACAUGGCGAGGGUCUUCCGGGUCUUUGUUUUCUUUGGCCAAUCAUCUUGUUUUACUUUCCUGGGGAGGGUCCAUGCUUACCCAGGGCCCUCCCCGAAAGGCGUAAGCAUCUUUUGCCAAAAACGGAUUCCAGAGCAAAGGGUUCUGGGAUGGUAUCAGGACUUCUUAUAUCCUGGCACCCCCUCCCUUUUGACCCCUAGGUGCCUUACUGCGCAUGAGUGGCUGGGGAGCUCUCCUUGACCCCAGGAGUGGUUGAAGUGGUCGUCUUAUCUUUCUGCUCCAGCAGAGCCCAGCUCCUGCCCUUCACUUUCUCCUUGAUGUGUCAGAGGGAAGCCUGGCCCAUUGACUCAGCCUGACGGUCCCAGCUCUUGUUAGGCCAGGGCCCCAUCUACCUCCUACCUCCGUUCUUUUCUGUGGCUGUGUGGACACAGUGCUGAGCCUCUGUGGCCAGUUUCCCUGCUUGUGAGGCCUGCCCGUGGCCCCGGUGCUCACAUUCCCUGAUUCACUGCCCUUCACCGAGGCCUCCCACAGGUGCAGGCCAGCCCCAGGCCCCUGGGGACUCCUCGAGAAGUGUGCGGUGGCCUCUGGCCGCCUCAGGGAACUUAUAAUACAUUUGGGGAUCCCACCGAUGAUACAGGAUGGUGAAUAAUUAAUUUUCCAAAGUGUGACUCAGCCCCGAGUGUAAGUAAGCGCUCUGGGAAGGCAGUCCUGCCAAGUGGAAAAACGGAUCAUCAUAAAGGAAGAGCAAGUCCCCCCGAACAGUCGCUGAAAAUGCCCUCUCCGUAAGGCAGGGUCAGACACACUUGUCUGGCAGACCAGUCAUUGCCAUCUGGCGCCCCGUCGGCCCAACCUGCCCCACCCCCAGCUGGGAGUCCGGGGCAGCUGGUGGACGUGCCUCAUUCAACGAAAGCACAAACACUUAGAGGGUGUGGGUGAAUAUACUCCCUUAUGUUGAAAUAUUUUCGCCAUGGGGCCAUGGGUGGCACAAAGAGGAUGUAUGCAGAGAAAUAGAGGGCUGGUUGGGAUUGUGCAAAGUCACCAAACGAACCUGGUGACAGAGAUGCCACACACUGCGGCUGGGUUCUGCAGCCGUAAAGAACGAGUCGUGAGAAACACAGUCUGACUGGGUGGGGGCUGUGACACCAGGAAGAGAAACAGCGGAGACAGUCUUUGAAAACGUUGAGCUCGGGUUGGCCAAGUGAGCUGAAGAAGGAGUCUCAGGUCUGUUUUGACACAUUAUUGCGGUGUUUCAGAGCCUGUGGGCGGUGGCACCUGGCCCAGGAUUCUUGCUCUGCCACCGUGCCUCUUCCUCUGCUGGUUUUCCUGAGGUUCUGGGCCAGUUCUGCUGCUCAUUCCACCACUGCAAGGACAAGGCCAUCCGUUUCCAGGGCUCCAGCUGAACAACAGCGGGAUGGGCACAGCCUUAGAGGUCCAGCUGAGAGCUGCCCAUAGGCUCUGGACUCACGUUUGUGGCUCUUUUCUGGGUCUCCGUUCUGAGUCCCACAGCUGCCUCUUCUCCACUAAACUCCUCCCAAAUUUGCUUCUCCCCACUUGUAACUCACGCUCCCUCACCAUCCUCCACGUGCAAAUUGUCACCGGUUCCGUCCUCUGUGACCCUCUUCACGCCACACGUGGACCUCAGUUCAGGCCCACCUGGCAUCUCCUUCCCCGGUAGCCCCCACACGGGUUCCCCCCUCCCCAUUUUGCUUGCCUUUAGUCCACCCUCCACACGGCCGCCGAAGCGCUUCCGCAGCACAAAUAGGAAGUGUAGCUUCCCCACUUACAGCCCCUCAAAGCCUGCCAGUUGCUUUGGGGCUUUAGCCUAAACCCAGUUACUGUAAAGCGCCCUCCCGAGUGGGGCCCGGGGUCCCGCCCCCGUGGUCUGCCAGGGCGGGAUGGAAUGCGUGCGGCUGGUAAAUGAAAAUAAACAUCUCUCCCACCCCCCUGCUCUGCUAUAUUCCUAACUCCAGGACAUCUCGGCAGAGUCCACCACGCUCUUUCUAAAGACGGUACCUCAGAACCUACUUAUACAGUGAUGAGAAAAUGCCAAAGAGCCCAGGACAACCACAGCAGAAAACCAGGAUCACCAGGGAAGAAAGCGGAGCCCUUCCUGCCCUCCCUGCCCAGAGCCAACCCUCCCCAGCUGGGCCCUCCCCAAGCCUUGCCUGUAACUCUCCUAUGACCUUUCAAAUGAUGUGGCAUCUGUUUGUUUAUUACUUGGCUUAUCUCUUAAUUUAAACUGUCAGCAGCCUGAGUUCAGGGAGGUUACAUAUGUCUGCAUCUGUAUUUUCUGCGCAGUUCCUACCCUCCGGCACCGGGCUGAGGAGGGCCAAUUAUGAAGUCUUCCCGUCGUGGCGCAGUGGUUAACGAAUCCAACUAGGAACCAUGAGGUUGCGGGUUCGGUCCCUGCCCUUGCUCAGUGGGUUAACGAUCCGGCGUUGCCGUGAGCUGUGGUGUAGGUUGCAGACGCGGCUCGGAUCCCGCGUUGCUGUGGCUCUGGCGUAGGCCGGUGGCUACAGCUCCGAUUCGACCCCUAGCCUGGGAACCUCCAUAUGCCGUGGGAGCCGCCGCAGAAAUAGCAACAACAACAACAACAG
This 4311-nucleotide long non-coding RNA is filed under the name Sus scrofa (pig). RNAcentral's name for it is "lncRNA (ENSSSCG00005008358.1)". The record is from RNAcentral. Lineage: Eukaryota; Metazoa; Chordata; Mammalia; Artiodactyla; Suidae.